RNAcentral lists this ribosomal RNA (680 nucleotides) under Micromonospora sp. YIM 78165. RNAcentral's name for it is "bacterial SSU rRNA". It matches the Rfam family "Bacterial small subunit ribosomal RNA", at positions 87 to 782 of the family's 1533-position model. Lineage: Bacteria; Bacillati; Actinomycetota; Actinomycetes; Micromonosporales; Micromonosporaceae. The record is from RNAcentral.
GUACUCGAGCGGCGAACGGGUGAGUAACACGUGAGCAACCUGCCCCAGGCUUUGGGAUAACCCCGGGAAACCGGGGCUAAUACCGGAUAUGACCUUGCACCGCAUGGUGUUUGGUGGAAAGUUUUUCGGCUUGGGAUGGGCUCGCGGCCUAUCAGCUUGUUGGUGGGGUGAUGGCCUACCAAGGCGACGACGGGUAGCCGGCCUGAGAGGGCGACCGGCCACACUGGGACUGAGACACGGCCCAGACUCCUACGGGAGGCAGCAGUGGGGAAUAUUGCACAAUGGGCGGAAGCCUGAUGCAGCGACGCCGCGUGAGGGAUGACGGCCUUCGGGUUGUAAACCUCUUUCAGCAGGGACGAAGCGUAAGUGACGGUACCUGCAGAAGAAGCGCCGGCCAACUACGUGCCAGCAGCCGCGGUAAGACGUAGGGCGCGAGCGUUGUCCGGAUUUAUUGGGCGUAAAGAGCUCGUAGGCGGCUUGUCGCGUCGACCGUGAAAACCUGGGGCUCAACCCCAGGCCUGCGGUCGAUACGGGCAGGCUAGAGUUCGGUAGGGGAGACUGGAAUUCCUGGUGUAGCGGUGAAAUGCGCAGAUAUCAGGAGGAACACCGGUGGCGAAGGCGGGUCUCUGGGCCGAUACUGACGCUGAGGAGCGAAAGCGUGGGGAGCGAACAGGAUUAGA